Molecule: ribosomal RNA, 186 nt
Filed under: uncultured bacterium
Lineage: Bacteria
Description: partial 16S ribosomal RNA
Rfam family: Bacterial small subunit ribosomal RNA
Source: RNAcentral
CUGCAACCCGCCUGCACGAAGCCGGAGUUGCUAGUAAUCGCGAAUCAGAAUGUCGCGGUGAAUGCGUUCCCGGUUCUUGUACACACCGCCCGUCACACCAUGGAAGUUGGGGGUGCCCAAAGCCGGCAAGCAAAUAUGCUGUCUAAGGCAAAACCAAUGACUGGGGUGAAGUCGUAACAAGGUACC